UUACGGUCAUAUCAUGUUGAAACACCAGUUCUGGUAUGAUUACAGAAGUUAAACAAUGUCAAGUCUGGUCAGUACCUAAAUGGGUGACCACUUGGAAAUACCAGGUGCUGUAU
Acanthosepion pharaonis is the source of this 113-nucleotide non-coding RNA. Lineage: Eukaryota; Metazoa; Mollusca; Cephalopoda; Sepiida; Sepiidae. The record is from the annotation of a GenBank genome assembly.